This 352-nucleotide ribosomal RNA is filed under the name uncultured Methanothermobacter sp. Its description in RNAcentral is "bacterial SSU rRNA". It matches the Rfam family "Archaeal small subunit ribosomal RNA", at positions 378 to 729 of the family's 1478-position model. The record is from RNAcentral. Lineage: Archaea; Methanobacteriati; Methanobacteriota; Methanobacteria; Methanobacteriales; Methanobacteriaceae.
ACCCCAAGUGCCACUCUUAACGGGGUGGCUUUUCAGAAGUGUAAAAAGCUUCUGGAAUAAGGGCUGGGCAAGACCGGUGCCAGCCGCCGCGGUAACACCGGCAGCUCAAGUGGUAGCCGCUUUUAUUGGGCCUAAAGCGUCCGUAGCCGGUCUGAUAAGUCUCUGGUGAAAUCCCACAGCUUAACUGUGGGAAUUGCUGGAGAUACUAUCAUGACUCGAGGUCGGGAGAGGCUGGAGGUACUCCCAGGGUAGGGGUGAAAUCCUGUAAUCCUGGGAGGACCACCUGUGGCGAAGGCGUCCAGCUGGAACGAACCUGACGGUGAGGGACGAAAGCCAGGGGCGCGAACCGGAU